This 490-nucleotide ribosomal RNA is filed under the name uncultured bacterium. RNAcentral describes it as "partial 16S ribosomal RNA". It matches the Rfam family "Bacterial small subunit ribosomal RNA", at positions 30 to 507 of the family's 1533-position model. The record is from RNAcentral.
AUUGAACGCUGGCGGCAGGCCUAACACAUGCAAGUCGAACGGUAACAGGAAGAAGCUUGCUUCUUUGCUGACGAGUGGCGGACGGGUGAGUAAUGUCUGGGAAACUGCCUGAUGGAGGGGGAUAACUACUGGAAACGGUAGCUAAUACCGCAUAACGUCGCAAGACCAAAGAGGGGGACCUUCGGGCCUCUUGCCAUCGGAUGUGCCCAGAUGGGAUUAGCUAGUGGGUGGGGUAACGGCUCACCUAGGCGACGAUCCCUAGCUGGUCUGAGAGGAUGACCAGCCACACUGGAACUGAGACACGGUCCAGACUCCUACGGGAGGCAGCAGUGGGGAAUAUUGCACAAUGGGCGCAAGCCUGAUGCAGCCAUGCCGCGUGUACGAAGAAGGCCUUCGGGUUGUAAAGUACUUUCAGCGGGGAGGAAGGGAGUAAAGUUAAUACCUUUGCUCAUUGACGUUACCCGCAGAAGAAGCACCGGCUAACUCCGUG